Molecule: long non-coding RNA, 2284 nt
Filed under: Amphibalanus amphitrite
Lineage: Eukaryota; Metazoa; Arthropoda; Thecostraca; Balanomorpha; Balanidae
Description: uncharacterized LOC122388991
Source: RNAcentral
CAUGCCGUCAGUCACGUCAGUCAUCGGUCUUGGCUAUCUGUAAGGAUCUUGGCAGGAAUCUUGGCCUUUUCUUGGACCCAUAGCCUCGGCCUUCGACCAAUCAUAUCGCCGAAUUCGCAAGCGGUGAGAGACAAAUACGGCGUGCCAAAGACAUAUUGGGUGUCUCAAAAUCACUGAGAACUCUGUAGCUCAAAACUUAAGCCCUGCACUCUUUUAGAUCUACCCCGUUGAGUGGCAUUCUUGUGAAAAUUAUGUAAAGAUAUUUAUCAGAAUAAGGUAGAAGUGUAGGGGGUGGCAGGUGAGGUGCAGAAGAAGAAGAAGAAGAAGAAGUUGUACCUAUCCAGUAAUUUUAUCUUGAUUUGUGGACUAGACGAAGACUAGAUUUUGAUGAAGAAAUCGACAAACUUGAACUGCAGGACUCGUGGCGCUGCUCGCCUCCUCGCCAAUGCGAAUGCGUUCUCUGAGGACAACCCGCCCAAGGCUACCAUGGCGAAGCCACGCCACCGCGCCGGCUAUAGACUCACGGCCUGAAGCGAGUUUGGGCGCGACGGCUGGCGAGCCAAGGCGGCGGAAAGUCGUCUGGCGGAGCUCCCGUCUGAGGCGAGCUUGAUCUGGUCAGACAGCUCCGCCACCGAUGGUGUGCUAGAUGGAGGAGGAGGGGCCACCCCCCCCCCGAACCGCGACAUCCGAGAGGUGCGUGUCGCGGCAGGCGCCCUCUGCUCUAGCACGCGCGGCGAGCUAUUCGCCCCGCUGAUGGAGGGGCGUCCCCCGCCGCCGGUUCGUGGACCCAACAGGCUGGACGCAGUGGAGACCCACCAACUACGAGCAGGACACUGGUCCGGGUCAGCCCAGUACCUGCACAGAAUCGGGCGGCACCCAUCGCCGGAGUGCGCCCAGUGCAGUGAUCGGGGAUGCCGGGCAGGAUGGUGCCGCGCCUGCGGCGAAGAGGCCGACACCCCGGACCAUGUCCUUCUGCGGUGCCCGGCGCUGAUGAACGCCCGGCUCCGCAUCUUCGGCACCAUCUUCCCGAGCCUGAGCGACGUGCGACGAGACGACGCGGUGGCGGCCCUGGCGAGGGUCGCCAGGUACCUCCAGAGCCGUUAAGGCUACAGCUCACCAGAGCCUGGAGGGACAGCACAACAACAACAACAGCUAUUCGCCCUAAGAGCGGUGUUGGAGGAGCUGGCCGGACGGAUGGUACCGGUCGAUAUGGGUCGACCGCCGUCUAUCCGGUCCAUUCUGCUGUUCCAGCUCCAGGACCGGCCGCGCCGUCGCCACCCGUCCGGCGUCAGUGGAGGACCGCUCAUCAGCUGUCGAUUUUCAUCAGUUUCGCUUGGACCACUGGUCGGGCUCCUGCCAGUGCCGACAUUGGGUUGGGCGGAGUCCUACCGAUGAAUGCCGCGAGUGCUGCAACAUUGGCUCGGUACAUCUCGGUACAUUUUCCCGAGUCUGGUGUGGCUACGGGGAGACGGAUUUGGUGACCCUGGCUGCCGCCGUGAGAACCAUCCAGAACCGUACGGCUAUGCUGCGGCAGCAGCUGAAAGGAACGCAACAACAAUAACUACAACAGCAGCUGCUAAUGAAAGGGGAAAUCAUGGAGCCGGAUGACCCGGCACAUGGCGCUCAGCCAGCUGAGAAUGAGAGCAGCUAUCAAAUCGCCAGCAGGGUGCUGCGGCUGGUAACUGACGACCUUAACAGAGAGAGCGCCUCCGCUGAUGCGGAUGAAACUACCCCCUCUCGGGUUUGUUUGACGCCGUCUCCGUCGACUCUUUCGCCUGGGCCGGCUGGCGACCGCGACAUUUCUUGUGCAGUGACUCGUAACUAUGUUCACCAAACUUUUAAAACUCCUCACGUUAGCAUCUUUAAAGAAUGUUUCCCUUGUACACUGCUGCAAUGUCUUAUGUAGGCAUAUUGUAGGUACAGUCUAAACGAGUGUGGAAUGCUUUGUUGUGCUUGCUUGUUCUGUAUUUCGUUUGCUAUUUAUCACGGUGACUAUAAUUUAUUUUGACCAACCCUUGCCUUGUUGCAAUUUUAGUGGAUGGUUUCUGAACUGCUGUUUGCAUUAUAGAUGUUGCUAGUGCGUAGACGCCAAAGAUUACUUUAUACCUAUUGACGCGCCAGAUAAAGGAGGUGAAGUAUUCCUCUGAUCUCUACCUACGAAAUUCCUUUAUGUGUGUUUUGUAAUCGAUAUUGGCGGUUUUCUUAUGUGAUGCGGUGUAGAGCGUGGCUGAGGAAGGCGAUGUUUAAAGUUGCUAGUUAUUUUUCAAUACAUCUAUGAUCGGAC